CAGGGUAUAGAGUAAGAGCUCCCCCAAACUUUAACCCACAUCUGCCACCUGGUCAUUUCAGAUUCCUUGGACCAAAAGGCCAUGGGACGAGGGAAGGAGUCACUGUACUGGCAGGAAUUACUGUCCCUGAGCAACUGGCAGGAGAAGGUUUUUUUCAGGGAAAGAGACCACCUAGAAUCCUGAAAGAAUGGUCCGUAGAUGGACAGACUCACUCUGUGAAGCAGGUG
Molecule: long non-coding RNA, 227 nt
Filed under: Homo sapiens (human)
Lineage: Eukaryota; Metazoa; Chordata; Mammalia; Primates; Hominidae
Description: HSALNT0001731
Source: RNAcentral